This 253-nucleotide ribosomal RNA is filed under the name uncultured bacterium. RNAcentral describes it as "partial 16S ribosomal RNA". It matches the Rfam family "Bacterial small subunit ribosomal RNA", at positions 524 to 776 of the family's 1533-position model. The record is from RNAcentral.
GACGUAGGGCGCGAGCGUUGUCCGGAUUUAUUGGGCGUAAAGAGCUCGUAGGCGGCUUGUUACGUCGUUCGUGAAAACUUGGGGCUCAACCCCAAGCUUGCGGUCGAUACGGGCAGGCUAGAGUUCGGUAGGGGAGACUGGAAUUCCUGGUGUAGCGGUGAAAUGCGCAGAUAUCAGGAGGAACACCGGUGGCGAAGGCGGGUCUCUGGGCCGAUACUGGCGCUGAGGAGCGAAAGCGUGGGGAGCGAACAGG